AAAAUUUUGGCUUUUCUUGCUUGCCUCUAGCUUAUAAACAAUGUGUAGCAAUUACAAAUCAAAGUAAAAACUUAUACUUGUGAAUAAUAUACCAAAUUUUGAUGGUUGUUUCUAUGGUGUGGUGUGAUUAUAGGGAAACAAUCAUAUAUUGGAGAAACCAUUGUGUCAAAAAAUGUUAUGUUUAUUUUACUAGUUGUCAAUUUUAGCCUUGCUUGUAGGUUCUUUUUCCACCCUCCUUAGAUUGAGGU
Molecule: unclassified non-coding RNA, 248 nt
Filed under: Hevea brasiliensis (rubber tree)
Lineage: Eukaryota; Viridiplantae; Streptophyta; Magnoliopsida; Malpighiales; Euphorbiaceae
Source: RNAcentral